GAUGAACGCUGGCGGCGUGCCUAAUACAUGCAAGUCGAGCGAACAGACUAGGAGCUUGCUCCUCUGACGUUGGCUUCGGACGGGUGAGUAACACGGUGAUAACCUACCUAUAAGACUGGGAUAACUUCGGGAAACCGGAGCUAAUACCGGAUAAUAUAUUGAACCGCAUGGUUCAAUAGUGAAAGACGGUUUUGCUGUCACUUAUAGAUUGAUCCGCGCCGCAUUAGCUAGUUGGUAAUGUAACGGCUUACCAAGGCAACGGUGCGUAUCGGACCUGAAAGGGAGAACGGACAGACUGGAACUGAGAAUGACUGGAGACACCUAGGGGAGGAAACAGUCGGAAAUCUUCCGCAAUGGGCGAAAGCCGAACGGAGCACAGCGGCGUGAAUGAUGAAGGUCUUCGGCCCGUAAAACUAAGUUAUUAGGCAAGAACAAAUGUGUAAGUAACUAUGAACGUCUUGACGGUACCUAAUCAGAAAGCCACGGCUAACUACGUG
RNAcentral lists this ribosomal RNA (497 nucleotides) under uncultured bacterium. Its description in RNAcentral is "partial 16S ribosomal RNA". It matches the Rfam family "Bacterial small subunit ribosomal RNA", at positions 28 to 507 of the family's 1533-position model. The record is from RNAcentral.